RNAcentral lists this transfer RNA (72 nucleotides) under Hyalella azteca. RNAcentral's name for it is "tRNA-Gln". It matches the Rfam family "tRNA". Rfam says of the family: Transfer RNA (tRNA) molecules are approximately 80 nucleotides in length. Their secondary structure includes four short double-helical elements and three loops (D, anti-codon, and T loops). Lineage: Eukaryota; Metazoa; Arthropoda; Malacostraca; Amphipoda; Hyalellidae. The record is from Rfam by way of RNAcentral.
GGUUCUAUGGUGUAAUGGUUAGCACUUUGGACUCUGAAUCCAACAAUCCGAGUUCGAGUCUCGGUAGAACCU